RNAcentral lists this ribosomal RNA (253 nucleotides) under uncultured bacterium. RNAcentral's name for it is "partial 16S ribosomal RNA". It matches the Rfam family "Bacterial small subunit ribosomal RNA", at positions 524 to 776 of the family's 1533-position model. The record is from RNAcentral.
UACGAAGGGGGCUAGCGUUGUUCGGAAUUACUGGGCGUAAAGCGCGCGCAGGCGGCUAUCCAAGUCAGUGGUGAAAGCCCGGAGCUCAACUCCGGAACUGCCAUUGAAACUGUUUAGCUUGAGGAUGAGAGAGGGUAGUGGAAUUCCCGGUGUAGUGGUGAAAUGCGUAGAUAUCGGGAGGAACACCAGUGGCGAAGGCGACUACCUGGCCUGUUCUUGACGCUGAGGCGCGAAAGCUAGGGGAGCAAACGGG